Podarcis lilfordi (Lilford's wall lizard) is the source of this 70-nucleotide non-coding RNA. NCBI's taxonomy places the organism in Eukaryota, Metazoa, Chordata, Lepidosauria, Squamata, Lacertidae. The record is from the annotation of a GenBank genome assembly.
UACGUUUGUUCUUGGUAUAAGCUUUUGUGUCUAUGCAUGCACACGAAAGCUUAUACCAAGAACAAACUUA